CCUACGGGGGGCAGCAGUGAGGAAUAUUGGUCAAUGGCCGAGAGGCUGAACCAGCCAAGUAGCGUGAGGGAAGACGGCCCUACGGGUUGUAAACCUCUUUUGUCGGGGAGCAAAGCGAGCCACGUGUGACUCUUUGAGAGUACCCGAAGAAAAAGCAUCGGCUAACUCCGUGCCAGCAGCCGCGGUAAUACGGAGGAUGCGAGCGUUAUCCGGAUUUAUUGGGUUUAAAGGGUGCGCAGGCGGAGGUGUAAGUCAGCGGUCAAAUUGUGGGGCUCAACCCCGUACUGCCGUUGAAACUGGAGCCCUUGAGUGCGCGAGAGGUAUGCGGAAUGCGUGGUGUAGCGGUGAAAUGCAUAGAUAUCACGCAGAACUCCGAUGGCGAAGGCAGCAUACCGGCGCGCAACUGACGCUGAUGCACGAAAGUGUGGGUAUCGAACAGGAUUAGAUACCCCUGUAGUC
This 459-nucleotide ribosomal RNA is filed under the name uncultured bacterium. RNAcentral describes it as "partial 16S ribosomal RNA". It matches the Rfam family "Bacterial small subunit ribosomal RNA", at positions 338 to 795 of the family's 1533-position model. The record is from RNAcentral.